Molecule: ribosomal RNA, 433 nt
Filed under: uncultured bacterium
Lineage: Bacteria
Description: partial 16S ribosomal RNA
Rfam family: Bacterial small subunit ribosomal RNA
Source: RNAcentral
AACGAACGCUGGCGGCAUGCCUAACACAUGCAAGUCGAACGAGACCUUCGGGCUUAGUGGCGCACGGGUGCGUAACGCGUGGGAACCUGCCCUUAGGUUCGGCAUAACUCCCCGAAAGGGGUGCUAAUAACGGAGAAUGUUUCCGGACCAAAGAUUUAUCGCCUUUGGUUGCGCCCGCGUUGCAUUAGCUAGUUGGUAGGGUAAAAGCCUGCCAAGGCGACGAGCCAUAGCUGGCUUGAGAGGAUGAUCAGCCACACUGGGAUUGAGACACGGCCCAGACUCGUACGAGAAGCAGCAGUGGGGGAUAUAGGGGAGUGAGCGAGAGCCUGAGCCAGCGAUGCCGCGUGAGUGAUGAAGGCGUUAGGGUUGUAAAGCGCUUGUAACCGGGAUGAUAGUGACAGUACCGGGAGAAUAAGCUCCGGCUAACUCCGUG